UACCAGACUCCUACGGGAGGCAGCAGUGGGGGAUAUUGCGCAAUGGGGGGAACCCUGAUGCAGCGACGCCGCGUGGGUGAAGAAGCGCCUCGGCGCGUAAAGCCCUGUCAGCAGGGAAGAAAAUGACGGUACCUGACUAAGAAGCCCCGGCUAACUACGUGCCAGCAGCCGCGGUAAUGCGUAGGGGGCAAGCGUUAUCCGGAUUUACUGGGUGUAAAGGGAGCGUAGACGGCGAUGCAAGUCUGAAGUGAAAGGCGGGGGCCCAACCCCCGGACUGCUUUGGAAACUGUAUGGCUGGAGUGCAGGAGAGGUAAGUGGAAUUCCUAGUGUAGCGGUGAAAUGCGUAGAUAUUAGGAGGAACACCAGUGGCGAAGGCGGCUUGCUGGACAGAGACUGACGUUGAGGCUCGAAAGCGUGGGGAGCAAACAGGAUUAGAUACCCGGGUACA
RNAcentral lists this ribosomal RNA (448 nucleotides) under uncultured bacterium. Its description in RNAcentral is "partial 16S ribosomal RNA". It matches the Rfam family "Bacterial small subunit ribosomal RNA", at positions 329 to 794 of the family's 1533-position model. The record is from RNAcentral.